This 286-nucleotide long non-coding RNA is filed under the name Lupinus angustifolius (narrow-leaved blue lupine). RNAcentral describes it as "long non-coding RNA (LANG_LNC002397)". Lineage: Eukaryota; Viridiplantae; Streptophyta; Magnoliopsida; Fabales; Fabaceae. The record is from RNAcentral.
UUUCAUUCAACCUUUUCUUUCUCCCUUAUAUUUUCCGCCGAUGCAUACACUGGUAGUCAGUAUUGAGGUAUAAGAAUUCGAUAACAGAGAUCUGGGCUGAUAGUCUGCGUGCACACUUUGCCACGAAACGUCUUAAAGAGAGCGACCUGGUCAUGAAUCAGCUAAUAAAUAUUAUUUCGUGCCAUUUAGAAUUGUUGUAAUCUACGGUUAUAACAUUUAGUAUGAUCUGGUGUCAUGUAUUAUGAAUAAGAAUAUGAAACAUUCCUCCUUAAAAUUCUUAUUUCAC